Molecule: long non-coding RNA, 209 nt
Organism: Arabidopsis thaliana (thale cress)
Lineage: Eukaryota; Viridiplantae; Streptophyta; Magnoliopsida; Brassicales; Brassicaceae
Product: other RNA
Exons: 1
Source: RefSeq
ACAUGCCUUGAGAGAGAGGAAGGUAAGAAAACAAAAGUUGAAUGAAAGAUUCUGAAUCUGCCUAACACCCUCAAGCACAUCACAUGGCCUUAUGUUUCUUCCUUAGCAUUGAUCUCUUUUCCCAUUACUUUAUCCUCUUUUCUUUGCGAGCAUUGUGGAGUUGUUUUAUAUAUGUGCCACUUUUUAUCUACAUAUGUACUACCUUGAAG